GACGAACGCUGGCGGCGUGCUUAACACAUGCAAGUCGAACGGAGUGGCGAACGGGUGAGUAACACGUGGGUGAUCUGCCUUGCACUUCGGGAUAAGCUUGGGAAACUGGGUCUAAUACCGGAUAGUGCAAGAUGUGCUCGCGGCCUAUUAGCUUGUUGGUGGGGUAAUGGCCUACCAAGGCGUCGACGGGUAGCCGGCCUGAGAGGGUGUACGGCCACCUUGGGACUGAGGUACGGCCCAGAAGACAACGGGAGGCAGCAGUGGGGAAUAUUGCAGAAUGGGCGGAAGCGUGAGGCAGCGACGCCGGGUGGGGGAUGAAGGCCUUCGGGUUGUAAACUCCUUUCGACAGGGACGCGGUACCUGUAUAAGAAGCACCGGCUAACUACGUGCCAGCAGCCGCGGUAAUAC
This 408-nucleotide ribosomal RNA is filed under the name uncultured bacterium. Its description in RNAcentral is "partial 16S ribosomal RNA". It matches the Rfam family "Bacterial small subunit ribosomal RNA", at positions 28 to 526 of the family's 1533-position model. The record is from RNAcentral.